Molecule: long non-coding RNA, 365 nt
Filed under: Ananas comosus (pineapple)
Lineage: Eukaryota; Viridiplantae; Streptophyta; Magnoliopsida; Poales; Bromeliaceae
Description: long non-coding RNA (ACOM_LNC001586)
Source: RNAcentral
ACAAUAUUUCUAACAAACGAUUCCAGAAUAAACUUCAAAUAUCAACCCCUCUGUUUCGUACUUUCUUACUUUAGUAUUAUAUACUAUAUGAUUUUAUUUUUUUCUUUUCGCCGACCCAUCCGUUAAUUUUUUAUUAAAUUAUAUACAAAAAACUUCAGAUAUUUCAUCUAUAGUUUAUCGAAUAUUUAUUUUAGCAUUCUUUAGUUUUAACUUUGUCACUAAUUUAACAAAAAAAAUUAGUGAAGAAAAUAACAAAAAGAAAAAAAUAAAACCACAAGAUACGAAAAUAAUACACUUUAAAUUAUAUGAUACUAAAGUAAAAAAAAACGAAACUACAGGAAUAAUAUUUAAAGUUUUCCCAACAA